AGCACAAUGGCUGACAAUAAAGUGAAGUCGACCAAACCUGUGAAUAAGACUCCUCCAAAGUCUCCUUCAGAUCCAUCAAAGGACCGAGCAGCAAAACGAUUGUCCUGUGAUUCAAACAGCUCCCAUGAGGGAGCUGUGGCAGGAGAAAUAAGCGCUCUGGAAGAGGCCUUUAGAAAAUUUGCCAUCCAUGGUGAUACAAGAGCCACAGGAAAAGAAAUGCAUGGGAAGAACUGGUCAAAGCUAUGUAAGGACUGUCAUGUGAUAGACGGGAAGAACGUGACAAUCACAGAUGUCGACAUUGUCUUCAGUAAAAUCAAGUAA
Tauraco erythrolophus (red-crested turaco) is the source of this 321-nucleotide non-coding RNA. NCBI's taxonomy places the organism in Eukaryota, Metazoa, Chordata, Aves, Musophagiformes, Musophagidae. The record is from RefSeq and is a predicted model, not a curated record.